CAGCAUCCCAAUAGGUUUGAAAAUAGAAGCUAGAACCUCCAAAAACUGAAAUGUCCUCUCUAAGGACUCGACUGAUCAUAAUUGUUCAGAAAUAGUUCUGCAGUAUAUAAAAUAUUUAUGAAUUAAAGAAUAUGAAUGCUACAUGUGUGUUUUCUAAAUGUGGGACUAUAUAUAAUCAUUGAACAAGCUUUUACUCGUUGAAUAAAUCAAAAUAAAUAUAUCAACAAAAAAAAAAUGAACAUAACCUUUGACUGCCUGAAUGGACACUCCAGGAUUGCUAUCUGCUGUUGCUUACAAUGCUUUAAGGUGUGUGUAUAAAUUCAUCAUCUGAAGCUUUCGGUCAUGGAAGUCACACGGUCUGUGUACCACAGCUUUUGAACAAUAAGUGGGACACUGUCUCAGUUUUUGCUUGGAAUUGUGUGUUCAUUCUCACGGUAUGAACUCGAGUUAUUAGGGCCUAGCAAGUCAUCACAAUUUGUUCUCUCACAAAGGCACUCUUGAGGGUUUGCAUAAAAAUAGUCUUCCUCCUUCGGUUUAUCUGCUAUAACCCGGCGGCGCAUUGGCUGUCCUAUCCUUUUCUCAUGCGCUGCUUGAACAGCAACUGCAAACUCAAUCCAUGGAAGUGUCCCAUUUUGAUGCAAAUCCAAUAAUUCUACAAGUCUUUUUCGAUCCAGCAGGAUUGUCCUUUUAAACCCAAGAUACCGGCGGUGACCUUCCACAACUUUUGCCAUGUUUCCAUAAUAAGUGGGUAUGAAAGUAUUACUGGCUAUUGAGACCAUGAAAUCCAGAGCAGCCAUCUGAGAAGAAUGAUUCUGGAAUUGUUGCAGCUCCACUGGAUCUAACAGCAUUUCCUUUCUCACCUGAAAUAACCUUUGAGACUGAGAUCUAGAAGAAAUAAGCUUGACAUAAAAGUAAAAAUAAAACCAAACAUUGAUGUUGAAUUAACAAGUGAAUACAUGCAUAUGCCAGAGUCACAUUCAACCAUUUGAUGGGGACUUCAUGAAUUGAGGUUCAGAAGUUAAAUCAAUGGAAUAAUUAUUCUAGAAGAAAACCCAUCAAAAAGCAUCCUUGACCCAUCGGCAAACAUGCCUCAAGCACCAAUCAAUCAGAAAGGCAAGUCCUGAGUCUUCUGACUACUGUUCUUCUACACAUGCCCUGGUGUUCGACAAGUAUUUAGCCAGUGUUGCAAAUAUAAAAACUGCAAAUAGAAUAAAAAAUUUAAUGCAAGACGCAGAACGGUAAACAACUCACAAUCCGUGGAAAUGCAGCCCUUAGUGCUGCAAGUCUCCGUUCACUGCCAUAUAUCUCACCAGCUGCAAUAUAUAUCUGUGUUUCCUUGUCAAAACCCAAUGCCUGCAAAAUCAAUGCCGUCUCUUCAGGUGUCAAAGGACACAAACCUUGUAGUCUCCUCUCUUCAGACACUAUCUCUUUCUCCCUCCACCAAGGGUAUGCAUACCUUAACGACUUGAGCUCAUCAGCUUCAUCCUUAGUGCAACCAUGAGUACAACCUGAGAAAGCCAACAUGUCCAUCUCAUAUCUAAGAUGCAAGGCCACAAAAGGCCCCCUAUCCUGAAGAAUGCGAACCAAUUUGUAACCCAAACUUUCAAUCUGCGGAGUGAAUUUCAGUGCCUCAAAAUUAACACGGCAUCUGAGUUUCUGAAGAUUGAGUGAGAUCCCAUUGUUUGCCAAGCGUGCAUCAGUUUUGUUGAAGUGCAACACCUUAAACUUGCCAAAUAGUGGUAAAAUCUGUUGUAGGUAAUAUUUUUCAUUUGACCAACUAACUGGGGGCAUCUUGAAUACUUUGUAUCCAUAUUUCCUAUGAAAUCUUUUUGGCACCCUUCUUACAAUUCGAACUUCAUCUCUUAAUGAGUCAAUGAAAUGUUUCACAUUAAAGAUGUCUUCAAAGUUGCUAGGGUCAGCCCAGAAAGACGUCUUGUCAAGUUCAGGAACAACCAAAGUGAGAUUCAAAAGCCGAGCAACAGCCACCAUGUCGCAGAUCGCAGCACGCAUUUGAUUCAAGCCCCCAUUGCAGGACACUUUCAGAUAACCAUUACUUAUAUAGUUUCUUGCAGGAAGAAGUGGCGGAGGAGGUGAUUGAGCAUGAACUUGAACUCCAAGAGGAAACGGCGUGAUCUGGGUGAUUUUAUGUGUAAUAUUGGUGAAAAAGCGCGGAUGCCAUAGCUCCCCAACGGCCACGAGUUGAACCAAACCAGUCCAUAGCAAAAUACUCGAGCAAACCCUUAUAAACCAAACCUGCAGGCGCGUUCUAGCGAUCACUGGAUGACCCCCUGACCCAAACUUCUCACACCUCACUUGUACACCGUCAGAUCUAACCUCCAUUUGUCACCUUCACUCCUCAUCAUCGCCCCUUCAUCCAAAUAGAUCUCCACAUGGGUUUAGGGAUCAAAAUCUCCAAGAAAACAUCCACAUUGUAGAAUUUACCAAAAGCUUAUCAACGAUCUUGGAAUCAAGAUUAGUACUAAAAGCUUCAAUCUUUAGAAUCCGCUCACAGAUAGAGUAAAAGGGAAUUCAAGAGGGGAAAAACAAAGAAUCAAAAGGAUUAGAAAAAGGAAUGAAUCUCACCAACCAAACACUGUUUAUUUGUUUAAUUUUUCUUUCCAGCAAAAAUUUAAUUAUCUUUUCUUCUUUCUGGAAUGGCUAAAACCGUAGAAUGCAAUUAAUUAAAAUAUAAUAAAAAUUAUUCUAGUUAAAACUCUCAAUCUGGCUGAAAAUUUUCUGGAGAAAAUUGUGAGAAAGGGAAGUGUUUGGCUGCCUGACAAAUUCGACCCAAUGACCAUAUCUUAGC
This 2806-nucleotide unclassified non-coding RNA is filed under the name Hevea brasiliensis (rubber tree). Lineage: Eukaryota; Viridiplantae; Streptophyta; Magnoliopsida; Malpighiales; Euphorbiaceae. The record is from RNAcentral.